Molecule: long non-coding RNA, 811 nt
Organism: Nycticebus coucang (slow loris)
Lineage: Eukaryota; Metazoa; Chordata; Mammalia; Primates; Lorisidae
Exons: 3
Source: RefSeq, a predicted model, not a curated record
AAGAAAAACCACAAAGUAGCUGGCAAUACAGACAUGUAUCCAUUGAGACUUUUCACUCUCCAGAAGAUGCUCUGGUGAACAUAUGGCCCCUCUCACCCCCACUAAUUUACUCAAUGAACACCCAGUUAUUUACAUACACUUGGAAAGAGAAAUUCCUCCUUGAAUUCACAGAGCUUGAGCUAGAACUAAGGGCACAGUAAUACAUGUAAAUAUCAUGAAAGUGCAGUUUGAUAAGUAUAUUCUUAACUAUGACAUUUUAUAAUUAAAUAUCUGUAACUACUGUAUUUUAUCUAAUCCUGAACAAUAUGGCCUUAUUGAUUCUAGAACUAUUUGAUGCUGCAGGAACAGUAGAAAUGUCCAGGGAUGUGUUUCAAAUCAAGAAUGGAACCUCUGCUUGUUGUCAACAGUUUUUCAGAUAAACUACUUCAACUUUGAUGACACUUUUGCACACUGAAAGCCCACUUGCCUGCAGAGCAGCAGUUGGACCUCACAAUGUGGAUUGUGCCUUCACUGGGAAGGUUCUGUGAUGCCCAUCACCGUGGUUACAUGAGAGUAUAUAUCUUGGCCCCUCCUGCUGCCACUUGCCAUUCAACAUGGGAAACCUGAAAAGCCGAUUCAAAGCAAAGCACUGUUUCUCCCGCUCCUGCUGCCCUUCAGUCGUCCCACGUCUCCCACCCAUCCCUCUCUAUCCCCAGCCUGUUCCCCUGACCCCACUCAUGCCACCUCCUCGCCUCUGGUGCCCCCUGGACCUAUUUAGGUCAUCAACCCCUUCUCGAACACGGUCCCUGCCUGCCCCUGCCGCUUCAUGUCC